UCACCUCUGUAGCAGACUACACCCACGGGUGGAGGGGAGAAGAUAAGGAUGCGUCUGCGGAGGAGAGCCAGUUUCCACAGCACCAUGAUCUGUUCCCCAAAGAAGCGGAUGAACUGGGACAUACAGCCUGCAGGCUCCCCAGGCGUUGGCUGGACAUGCAGUGACAACACCAUCGCCACUGGGGGGCAGAAGUGCUCUCUUGUCUUCAUAAAAGGCCUCCAGGGGAGAGUAGUGGCCUGGUGACUGAAGCUGGAGCCUGAAGCAGGGGACAAAUAACAGACCUUUAAACCUGCCAACAUGGGAAGUCCUUAAAGUGCUUGGGAACAGAAAUGGAAAUCUGAACAUCUGCAAUUCAGCGACAACGGGACAAACUCCGUCUCCUAUGGAAGAUCAUGUAACAGGAUCAUGAACCUUCACAAGAUCUACUAAAGGGC
This is a long non-coding RNA of Scatophagus argus, 434 nucleotides long. RefSeq lists it as uncharacterized. NCBI's taxonomy places the organism in Eukaryota, Metazoa, Chordata, Actinopteri, Scatophagidae. The transcript is spliced from 3 exons. The record is from RefSeq and is a predicted model, not a curated record.